Molecule: long non-coding RNA, 4345 nt
Organism: Lycium barbarum (goji berry)
Lineage: Eukaryota; Viridiplantae; Streptophyta; Magnoliopsida; Solanales; Solanaceae
Exons: 3
Source: RefSeq, a predicted model, not a curated record
AUUAAUCAUCUUCACAUAGUAUAUAUUGUACUAGUUAUUAAAUUAGAAAUCCAAGAAUAAUUAAAUAGAGGUGGAAGAAUCAACAAUUUUCACCUCAUAAGCAAUUGCUCGGAAGUAUAUCAAUGUUGGACUCAUUUUGAAGCUCGUAUUUUAAAACAACGUAUUAUAAUUUUUAUUUCAUCAAAAUAUUAUUUUACAAGGGGUAAAUUCUUGAUAAUAGCUAUCUACCCCAAAAGAAAGAAAGAAGAAAAAAGGAAAAAAAAAACUUUGCAUUUGCAUAUUCGUCUGAAUUCCAUUCUUCCUUUUUUUAUUUUUUUCUGCGCACGCUUCUUUUUUUUAAUGCACGCUUCUUCUUUUUAUUUUUAUGCAUUCCACUCAUGCUCCUCUACCCUACCUCUCUUUCUCUUUUUCCUUUUCAUCAUGACCACCACUACCGUUUGCCUCCCCAACGUCUCUCUUUCUGCUCCUCACCCGCUCCUCUCUCUCCUCAAAUUUCCCCAUAAAAAGAGGACGUUUCUACCUUCUUUGGGGGAGGGAUUGGGAUGAGCAAAAAAAAAACCUAACAAAACAAGAUCGGGCAGUGGCGAAAGAAAAGAGAAAAAACAGACCGAAAAAUCCCCCCUCAAAACAGAUUGAACACGAUCUGAAAUUCCCAAAAAUCCCCCUACAAACACAGGUUUUAAUCGCCUUCAAUUUCCCCAGAAAAAGAACAGCCUUCAUUAUUAUUAUUAUUUUUGGGAAACAUUUCUUGAAAUUCAACCGAAAGGAGGGAUUGAACACUGAUUGGGGAGAUUAUUGUAUACGGAGUAUUUUGUCACCGAGCCUCAAGUUUCUUUUAUCCUGGUCCUGAUUUUGUUUAAAAUCAAAAAAAAAAAAAAAAAACACCUUUUGUUGAAAACAUAAGAUUUGUGACAAAAAAUUAAGUUUUCACAAUUCAAUUAACUUUCGUCGCUGCUCGGCAAAAGAACUUUAAUUACAACAAAGACAUUUUAACUUUCGAUUCGAGCUUUGAAUCUGUCCAUACGAGAGGGUAGAUUCGAGGCUUCGACGCUCAGUUCACUGCACACACAAAAGGUAAACCUCGAUACAUUUAUCGCUUCUAGCCUUUGGUUCCUGCUUGAGUUAAAUUUUAGUUGAUUCUGCUAUUUUGCUAGUUAUGUAGUUUCUUUGUCGUCACAUUGUUUGUUUGACGCUUGGGAGCUGUUAGGAUAGAAUAACAAUUGCUAAUAGACAAAUUUGAAAGACAUAUACUGUAGCUUGGAUGUUUAGACUGAGUUUCAGGAUUUAAAACAUAUUUAGAGUCGAAUAUACAUAGGAUAUACCAUGGGUAUACAUGCGAUAUACCUCUUAUAUACACACCUUGGUGUGUAUAUCUUAGGUAUACCGUGUAUAAGGUUAAGACAGAUCGGUAUUGUCUCUCUUUUACUCUGUUUGUUCAAAUAAUAUGCCCCGGGUAUAAAUAUAAUCCGCUCGGUUUAGAUACGAUGAAACGGUUGUAUGAUAUGUCGGUAUUGUUUACUGAUUUGAUUUAGUCUAUGGUUUCUGUUCUACGAACAAUCCUAUUAGCAACCAUGUAUCAGGCCUAGUUCCAUUUUUAGUCUGAUUAACAUGUUUAUGUGAAAAUAAACAUGUCUUGAACAUAAUCCCUGCUAUACCUAUGUUUAAAAUAGCCAUCCUGUUUGAUAUAUGUUGCUGCCCCCAUAUAAUUUGAACGCAUAUUAACGUCUUCUCUUUCUGUACACAAUGCGAUUCUCAUUGACAUUCUGGGAUCAUGAAUUUUCACCAAACUGGAACAAAAUUGUUUUUCUCAUUGUCGGCACCAUCUGUUUUCACAUUCUACACUCUCAUGCAACUCAUAUUGUGCUUUGUUGAGCAUAUUAUAUAUCUGCAUCUACUCAUCUUUAUAUGCUAAGUAUACUUGUAUCGAUUAUAUAUGUGUGUACAUGACAGGUAUACUUUAGCCUAUACAUCUUCAUAGAUAUGUAUACAUGAGAUACACUUUGAAUAUACAUAUUAUAUACAUAAUCUACUGAUUUGUUUUUUUUUUUUUUUUUUUUAUAUAUUUUUCAUGUUUAAUCUUAUCCGUUGAGUAGAUACUAAUCCUUUUCCUUUCAUUUUUUUUGCAUGAUAUCUCGCAUACGAGUCCAAACGACUCGUCAUCUCCCGCAUUCGGCUUCGGGCUAAAAGCCCAACAUGAAAUUCUCUCCCUAUCAUCCCAAUCCGCAGCCAAACAAGAAAACAAAAUCUGGGCCAAAGCCCAAUAGACAAGACAGCCCACAGCAGCAAUAUAGAGAAAAUUUAUUGGGCCUAAGCCCAAUAAACGUGAACAGUUCAGCUGGGCCUUAAUAAAUGGGCCAAACCCAUUUACCCUUUUUACCCUCUUCCUUAUUUUAUUUUGUGUAUUUUUAUUUGUUUUGUAUGACUAACAUCUUACCUUAUUUUAUUUUUCUAACUUACAUGAAUUUAGCAAAUUAGUGGGGCUUAGUUUAAUAAUGGGUAAUUAAUUUAAGGACGAUCAAUCAAUCCCAUAAGAUUCGCUUGUUUUCUUGCUAUCGAUUUUCAAAAUUACGUCUUUAUAAUAUUUCAAAAGAAAAAAUUAAAAUGUAUGUUCUAUAUUCGUUCUUGUUCUAUAGUUCAAAUUACAAACAAUUUUCUAGACUCACGUUGUAAUGCAACAUAUUUUCCGAUAGAUGUAAAUGUGAAUUCAAAUAUAUUUUGUGAAUACAUUUUCAAGAAUCAUGCAUAUUUUAAUUAAAGAGAGCUAACAAAAGAGAAAGAAAACUUAUUUCUUUUUGCGUCCUAUUUACAAAAAAUAAGUAUAGAUUUUCCUACAUUGCAGUACUCAUACAAUGUAACUUUUUAUCCAAAGUUCACGUUUAUUGAAUCUCGUCUACAAGUAUUAUUUUAAACAACAUUAUUAUAUACUUUCGUUUAAAAUCUUGACAACGUUUAAAAUAACAUUAGAAGUAUUCUUUUAUACAAAUUAUUAUCUUCUACAAAUCCUAUUUUAAACAACAUUCUUAUCUGUAAUUUUAGCUAUAUUUACAAAACUACUUUCUUUUUCUAUAAUACUAUAUUUACACUUAGCCUAACUAAAUUUUAGUCCGGUCGGUUAACCAUUGUUAAUGGGUUUUCAAGGGUGCCUAAUACCUUCCCUUUAGACUAAUUGAACCCUUACCUAGAAUCUCAAGUUUCGCAGACUUAAACAGAGCUAACUUUAGAAAAUAACUUUAAUAAACUUUAGGUGUCCUAAUUCACCAUAAAUAAUUAGGUGGCGACUCCUUAAAACACAAACAAAAACUGGGAAUCUCCAAUACGUCGUACUUCUAAUUUUAACCUCCGCGGGUAAAAAUGGGGUGUGACAAUGUACAUAGUAACUUGUUUAAUUUCUUACCGUUUCUUACUAUUGAGUGUUUAUUUAAUAAUUUCUUUUCUUUGAAGGGUUUUCAUGCUGCUGUAGAAGAAUUGUUACCCGAUGCUGAGCAUAGGAGAUAUGCAAGACACAUCUGGUCCAAUUGGCAUCAAGAAUGAAAGGGUGAAGAGAGAAGAAAACGAUUUUGGAGAUGUUCUAAGGCCAGUUUUGAAGUGAAGUUCAGGUUGUGCCAGGUGCAGAAGCACCUAACCAAAGUUUACAAGACCCUGCAUAAGCACCUAGCCAAACUGCACCUACAAGCUUAAGCCAACCUACACCUUCAGCAGCAGUUUGUGAUGAUACAACUAGAGUUAGGAGGGUGAAUCAAUCAAAAAGAGUUAGAAGCUCAAGCCAGCUAGCCCCACCUAUAGAUACAAGUAUUUCUAUUACAAGAGGAAUAACAAGUCAACUACCUCCUAGAAGAAAACAAGUUGCUGGACAGAAGAGAGCUAAGGUUGCAACUGGAGAGGAACCUGCAAGUAGGGGACACAAGAAGCAGCUGAUGUUGGAUUUGGCAUAUACACAAGUACAAGUGGAACUCAAAUACUAAAUCUAGGAACAUCAAGCCAAAGGAUUCUAGAAACUGGUUCAGCUUACAAGGAUACAAGUCCAACAGGCAUAGACCUUGGCUAUAAAGCUAGAGGAUUGAGAUGGAAAAACAAGGAAGCUGUCACUGGCCCCCAAUUGAAGCAUAUGGCAAACAAGAAGAAGAAGAAGAAUUGGCAGUAUUAGGAUAGAAUGUAGUACUUAAUUGGCAAUGUAAUAUGGAACCAAACAAUUUCUCUUUUUGGAUGGUUAUUUUGGCAAUCUGCUACCUGUAUGUAGCAGUAAACAAUUUGCAGUAUUUUAAUGUUUGCUUUUGGCUACUUGUAUGCUAACUUUGAGCUCAUUCUUGAGCAUGUUAAUAUAUUAGCUACUAUUUGGGGUUACUUU